Molecule: long non-coding RNA, 2296 nt
Filed under: Marmota monax (woodchuck)
Lineage: Eukaryota; Metazoa; Chordata; Mammalia; Rodentia; Sciuridae
Source: RNAcentral
CAGCUUCCAAAGUUCUAUCCAAAUGUCUUUUGCUGGCAUUUUAGCUCUCUGGCUGGCAUUAUUGCUGGCAGGGGGUAAUCCCAUUUAUUCCCACUGGCAUAACACUGGAAGCCUCCUUAAAAGGAAACUCUUCAUUGUCCUCUUCUCUCCUGAGCCUCCAGUAGCCAUUCCAGAACUGAGGCUGGGGCAGGGCAGUGCCAUUGAGCCCAGGGCCUGACUUUCAGGGAGGACAGGAGAGUAUUGGGGGAGCAGAAAACCUGUGCCUGAGCCAAGACCCAAGUUCCAGGGGAGGAGAGAGCCCAAGGAAGCAUGAUUUUGGCUGUGCAAGCCCCAUCUCCAACCCAAUGGGCAGAACACCUUAGCUAUAAAUGCACACAAGCUGCAGCUGUGGGCUCUGUGGCCUUCAGGGAACACUGCAUCUGCCCUGGAUCAGUGUUAGAAGGCAUGGCCUGUCUGCCACUUAGUCUGUGCUAGGCUGCCAUCCCCUUUCUGGGUCUUUCCUUCCCCAGCUCUGUUGCACACAUCUUAAAGAGCCCUAGACUGUGACAGAGGUGGCUGGCCUGUUGGGACAUUCCUGUGAAAGCUGACAAGGCAGGUCAUGGUCACACCACUGUCACACCCUCACCAGUCACUAGUACAAUAACCAAUGUAGGGUUGGUGGAUAUCUGGGGGCAGCUCCUCCCUGCCACUCUGCCCUUUUCCUCCAUAGGAGCCCUGAACAUCUGCUCCUGCUCCUAGGCCUGGUUCCAACCUUCCCUAGGACUGAGACUUCCACAUCUUCCCACCUUUCUGGAUCCCAGACAGCUUCCUCCAGCAAGAUCCACUCCAGUGGAAUAUAAAAGUCUUCUUGUCUCACCUGACCCUGGUUUCAGAGUGAGAGGUAACUGCCCUCCUACAUUUGGGAACUGACAUCUGAUGUUAUCUAUUGCACAUUUAAAUUAUUGCCUGGGGUUAAAAGUAAAUACCAGUGAGAAGACCACCUGAGGCAGAGGACCUCUUGUGUGCCUCCCCACCCUCUGCCCAGACUCUCUCAUGUCUAGACACUGUUAUUAUUCUCUUCUUGGGUUUAAGGCAUUACCAGUCUAUGGUUAAAAUGUAAGAUGCUACCCAGGACACAGAACUUGAGUUGAUUUAUUUACAAAUUAGUUAGAUCUGUUUAUCAGAAAGUGACCCAGUACUGGGGGACAAUUCUGUCCUUGGGGAGCCCUUGGUUAACAAGCAUGGGCUGGGCUGGGACUCUAUAUUAAACAGGGUAUAGGACGGGAGAGCAGAGGCAGGAAGCAUAGAAAAGGGAUGGGGCCACUGCUCUCAAGCCAUCAAGCUACCUAGCAGUUCUUACCUGCUCCUGUAUGGGGGCCCUGUUGAUGGACAGGCAGCCUGGGCAGUAGAAGAAAACUGGGCACAAAUUGGAACCCCUGGUCCUGAACCACCCCCAGCCCCGACAAGUUAGCAGUGUCAUCUCAGUACUUACUUUUCUUCUCUGGGCCUGUUUCCCUCUGUAAAAAAUGAUGGGGUUUGGACUAGACAUUCUCAGAGGACUCCCUGUGGCUUGAAUGUGCUGUAGCAAGCAAUCUGAGAUGACCAGUUCCCUUAUGGUAGCCUUUCCUCCUCUGAGCUCCUCCCUGCUGACCUGGUACUGUGCUGGGCCAUACAAGGAGACUCUGGUGUAACUGGUCCCCUAACUCCCUCUACUCCUGUGCCUUCCUCUGCAUAAUUCCAUAUGGAGCCUUAUUUGAAACUGAAAGAAAGAAAAUGGAGCUGGAGAUGCUCCAGGCUAGGGAGCUGAACCACAGAACCAGUCUACCCGGUUUUAACUCUACUGCUGCCAUAAUCUUCAGGAGCCCCUUCACCAGGCAGGCAGGCAGGCAGGCAACAGGAGACCUUGACCAAGGUGACUGGUUUGUUGCUAUUUGCCCUGGGGAGAGUGAGCUGGGUCCUGCUGCACUGAGAUCAGAGGCCAGAACAAAUGUACCACCUACCUGCACUUUCUACACCUGCUUCUCUGAGCACCCAGAGGGGCCUCCUCAGGUCCUGGGCAGCCUAAGUAUGUAUGAAGGACAAAAGUCUGCUUCCACCUGAGUGGACAGAAGCUGUGGGCAAACCAGAGCACAAGUAGAUUAUGACCAGGGCAGAGACACCUGGAUUUGCUGAUCAAGGCACCACUUUGGCAGAAUAGGUUACCACAGAGAACCCACAGGUGUGCAAAAGUAGUCAUCAUUGUUCCUCUGUAAAUACUUGGGUCUCUGCACUGCCUGAUGUGUCAUGAUGAGGUUUUAUAGAAAAUGCUGGCCAGCAU